UACAGAGGGGGCAAGCGUUAUUCGGAAUUAUUGGGCGUAAAGGGCGCGUAGGCGGCCUGGCAAGUGGAAGGUGAAAUCCCUCGGCUUAACCGAGGAACUGCCCUCCAAACUGCUUGGCUUGAGACCGGGAGAGGUGAGUGGAAUUCCCAGUGUAGCGGUGAAAUUCGUAGAUAUUAGGAAGAACACCGGUGGCGAAGGCGGCCCACUGGAUCGGUACUGACGCUGAGGUGCGAAAGCGUGGGGAGCAAACAGG
Molecule: ribosomal RNA, 253 nt
Filed under: uncultured bacterium
Lineage: Bacteria
Description: partial 16S ribosomal RNA
Rfam family: Bacterial small subunit ribosomal RNA
Source: RNAcentral